Molecule: long non-coding RNA, 1299 nt
Organism: Cygnus olor (mute swan)
Lineage: Eukaryota; Metazoa; Chordata; Aves; Anseriformes; Anatidae
Exons: 3
Source: RefSeq, a predicted model, not a curated record
UUAAGCUAUUUCUCUGCUGACUUGGCGUGGAGGAAGGAGAGGUGUCCACUAACGAGGCAGCUGAAUCAUGACGGUAUGAAACAGGCUGGAUGUGACUCCUCUGUAAAGAACCUUGGUCUAUGAGUCCUAGCAGACAGGCAAAAUAUUCAUCAUGUGCAUAAAAACCUGGAGUUGGUCCGCAGCUCUGUUGUUCAGCAUCAGUGGCAAGUACUUUGCUGGGCAGCUUCUCAUAUCUGUGUCACCAGAGACUGACCCAGGUGUUUGGAUGCCUUCCAGCUCAGGAAGUCCAAGGUGCCAGCUUGGAUUUGUCUCAAGGAAGUAAGACACUCUUUAGAGAAAAUCUGCAGCUUAUCCAGAAGAUUCAGCCACAAACACACCAUGUAGUCCAAGAAGUGAGUAGACAACCAGAAUAAAGACAGAUGGAAGGAGUCCCAGCAUCGUGACUGUGGUUGGGCAUCUGGCUGCGAGUGUUUAUUCUCACUUCUGCUAGGGGACUCCCACAUGUGGCUCCUGCCUUCUCCCCCAUGUGUUUCCUCUUCGCCUGCCAUGCAGAAGAUGCUUUUCUUGAGACAAGGGAAAGCCAUCAUCAUGUCAUCUUGCCCUGAGGGCUGUUUGCUGGGUGCCUUUGCUCUCACAGGUGAAGGACAUCUGCUUUCUGUAUGGGCUAGUCAGGAACAAGGGUCCAGAGAUGGCAAUUUCCAGCUGGGUCCCUUGUACAACCCAGCAAUAUUUCAAUGCUGUGUAUGUGACACAUGCAAAAAACCACCACUCUUAGUGUCUUUGGGAGGUGGGCCCAAAUAGGCCCAUAUAUUCCCCAUAUCCAGAUAUAGGGGCAUAUCUGUGCCCUGACAUUUGGCAUUUGAGGUCUUUGGAGCAGGUGCCAGCUGUGGCUGGGACUGGUGAGCAUUGGUGAGUGGAGACUGAGGGGAAGGGCCCUGUUCUUCUGUGGGGAAAGGGGCGGGAGAAGCUGGAGAGCUUCUGCAUGGCCAUGGAGGAGCAAAGCCUGAUAGGACUGCCAGUGCACACCAUGGGUGUGCUCGCUCUCCAGAUCCACCUUCCCAUGCUCCUUCCCCUGCUCUGAGCCCCGAGACACGUCAGUGAGUUGUCAGGAUAAUGGCAUGGUGGCCUGUUAGUGACUUUGUGGGCUGUUCCUCCAGCUGAAACCAUAUAGUCCCAGAACAGCUGAGGGUAGCAGCCAUACUCAAGCAGGGCCACCCAGAGCAGGUUGCCCAGGACCAUGUCCAGGUGGCUUUUGAAGAUCUCCAAGGAGGAGACCCCAUGGCCUCUCUGGGCAACCUG